GUUUUCGUUUUUUGCCUUGAUAAACAAGGAGGAAUUAGAUGGAAUAGAGACCGUUAACAUGCUAUUAAGAAGAAAUUGGUGGCUGGAAAAAGUCCGAUGAUUGUUUAGGAGAGUUCGGGAAGGGGUAUGACUGAGUAGUACUGGAUAAUUUUUUUUCCCCUAAUUUGAACAAAGGUUAUAUUUGUAGUAUAAUCUUGCUGUAUUUAUCAAUAAUGUGUUUUAAUUAGUGCGUUUUUACUUUUUAUAAAGUGGUGCAAAAACAAAAAUCAUGGUGGUAAUAUAGCCACCCAUAAUAAAUUACCCUAAUUUCAUAACCUAAUUGUUGAGACUUUUUCGAUUUUAUUGGUAGUUAAAUUUAUACUUUGAUAUACAUACAUACUUAUAUAGAUAUAUGUAU
This 397-nucleotide long non-coding RNA is filed under the name Olea europaea (common olive). Its description in RNAcentral is "long non-coding RNA (OEUR_LNC011090)". The record is from RNAcentral. Lineage: Eukaryota; Viridiplantae; Streptophyta; Magnoliopsida; Lamiales; Oleaceae.